RNAcentral lists this ribosomal RNA (292 nucleotides) under uncultured bacterium. RNAcentral's name for it is "partial 16S ribosomal RNA". It matches the Rfam family "Bacterial small subunit ribosomal RNA", at positions 505 to 796 of the family's 1533-position model. The record is from RNAcentral.
GUGUCAGCCGCCGCGGUAAUACGAACUGUGCGAACGUUAUUCGGAAUCACUGGGCUUACAGGGUGCGUAGGCGGCUUUUCAAGUCAGGUGUGAAAGCCCCCGGCUCAACCGGGGAAUUGCGCUUGAAACUGGAGAGCUCGAGUCAGCUAGAGGUGCACGGAACUUCCAGUGGAGCGGUGAAAUGUGUUGAUAUUGGAAGGAACACCGGAGGCGAAAGCGGUGCACUGGGGCUGGUCUGACGCUGAGGCACGAAAGCCAGGGUAGCGAACGGGAUUAGAAACCCCCGUAGUCC